UCGCACGCAGGCAGCAACCAGGGUAACUUUCAAGGACUUCCUCUGGAUGGUGGCAGAUUGACAACUUCACAUCAGUGAACAUGAAUCUCAUAACUGAUUGGAAAAAUAAAUAAAGUUUUGCACACAA
Molecule: long non-coding RNA, 127 nt
Organism: Engraulis encrasicolus (European anchovy)
Lineage: Eukaryota; Metazoa; Chordata; Actinopteri; Clupeiformes; Engraulidae
Exons: 2
Source: RefSeq, a predicted model, not a curated record